RNAcentral lists this ribosomal RNA (433 nucleotides) under uncultured bacterium. RNAcentral's name for it is "partial 16S ribosomal RNA". It matches the Rfam family "Bacterial small subunit ribosomal RNA", at positions 29 to 507 of the family's 1533-position model. The record is from RNAcentral.
AACGAACGCUGGCGGCAGGCCUAACACAUGCAAGUCGAGCGAGGACUUCGGUCCUAGCGGCGGACGGGUGAGUAACGCGUGGGAACGUGCCCUUUGCUUCGGAAUAGCCCUGGGAAACUGGGAGUAAUACCGGAUGAGCCCUUUGGGGGAAAGAUUUAUCGGCGAAGGAUCGGCCCGCGUUGGAUCAGGUAGUUGGUGGGGUAAUGGCCUACCAAGCCGACGAUCCAUAGCUGGUUUGAGAGGAUGAUCAGCCACACUGGGACUGAGACACGGCCCAGACUCCUACGGGAGGCAGCAGUGGGGAAUCUUAGACAAUGGGGGAAACCCUGAUCUAGCCAUGCCGCGUGAGCGAUGAAGGCCUUAGGGUUGUAAAGCUCUUUCAGCUGGGAAGAUAAUGACGGUACCAGCAGAAGAAGCCCCGGCUAACUCCGUG